GGGUUGUGAGGUUAAGCGAAUAAGCGUACACGGUGGAUGCCUAGGCAAUCAGAGGCGAUGAAGGACGUGCUAAUCUGCGAAAAGCGUCGGUAAGGUGAUAUGAACCGUUAUACCCGACGAUAUCCGAAUGGGGAAACCCAGUAUCCAAUGGAUACUAUCAUUAACUGAAUCCAUAGGUUAAUGAGGCGAACCGGGAGAACUGAAACAUCUCAGUACCCCGAGGAAAAGAAAUCAACCGAGAUUCCCCUAGUAGCGGCGAGCGAACGGGGAGCAGCCCAGAGUCUUAAUCAAUAGCAGUGUCAGGAGAACGGUCUGGAAAGUCCGGCAGUAAAGGGUGAUAGCCCCGUAUCUGAAGAUGCUGUUAUUGUGAACUCGACGAGUAGGGCGGGACACGUGUUAUCCUGUCUGAAUAUGGGGGGACCAUCCUCCAAGGCUAAAUACUCCUGAUUGACCGAUAGUGAACCAGUACCGUGAGGGAAAGGCGAAAAGAACCCCGGCGAGGGGAGUGAAAAAGAACCUGAAACCGUGUACGUACAAGCAGUAGGAGCCUCUUUAUGGGGUGACUGCGUACCUUUUGUAUAAUGGGUCAGCGACUUAUAUUCUGUAGCAAGGUUAACCGUAUAGGGGAGCCGUAGGGAAACCGAGUCUUAACUGGGCGAAUGAGUUGCAGGGUAUAGACCCGAAACCCGGUGAUCUAUCCAUGGGCAGGUUGAAGGUUGGGUAACACUAACUGGAGGACCGAACCGACUAAUGUUGAAAAAUUAGCGGAUGACUUGUGGAUGGGGGUGAAAGGCCAAUCAAACCGGGAGAUAGCUGGUUCUCCCCGAAAGCUAUUUAGGUAGCGCCUCGUGAACUCAUCUUCGGGGGUAGAGCACUGUUUCGACUAGGGGGUCAUCCCGACUUACCAACUCGAUGCAAACUGCGAAUACCGAAGAAUGUUAUCACGGGAGACACACGGCGGGUGCUAACGUCCGUCGUGAAGAGGGAAACAACCCAGACCGCCAGCUAAGGUCCCAAAGUCAUGGUUAAGUGGGAAACGAAGUGGGAAGGCUCAGACAGCCAGGAUGUUGGCUUAGAAGCAGCCAUCAUUUAAAGAAAGCGUAAUAGCUCACUGGUCGAGUCGGCCCGCGCGGAAGAUGUAACGGGGCUAAACCAUGCACCGAAGCUGCGGCAGCGACACGUAGUGUUGUUGGGUAGGGGAGCGUUCUGUAAGCCUGCGAAGGUGUACUGUGAGGUAUGCUGGAGGUAUCAGAAGUGCGAAUGCUGACAUAAGUAACGAUAAUGCGGGUGAAAAACCCGCACGCCGGAAGACCAAGGGUUCCUGUCCAACGUUAAUCGGGGCAGGGUGAGUCGACCCCUAAGGCGAGGCUGAAAAGCGUAGUCGAUGGGAAACGGGUUAAUAUUCCCGUACUGGUGGUAACUGCGAUGGGGGAACGGAGAAGGCUAGGUUGUCCGGGCGACGGUCGUCCCGGUUCAAGCAGGUAGGCAGAGUGAUUAGGCAAAUCCGGUCACUUAAUGCUGAGAUGUGAUGACGAACCACCAAGGUGGUGAAGCAAUUGAUGCCCCGCUUCCAGGAAAAGCCUCUAAGCUUCAGGUUACCAACAAUCGUACCCCAAACCGACACAGGUGGUCAGGUAGAGAAUACUCAGGCGCUUGAGAGAACUCGGGUGAAGGAACUAGGCAAAAUGGUGCCGUAACUUCGGGAGAAGGCACGCUGGCGGUAGGUAAAGUCCCUCGCGGACGGCGCUGAAGCCAGUCGAAGAUACCAGCUGGCUGCAACUGUUUAUUAAAAACACAGCACUGUGCAAACACGAAAGUGGACGUAUACGGUGUGACGCCUGCCCGGUGCUGGAAGGUUAAUUGAUGGGGUCAGCCGUAAGGCGAAGCUCCUGAUCGAAGCCCCAGUAAACGGCGGCCGUAACUAUAACGGUCCUAAGGUAGCGAAAUUCCUUGUCGGGUAAGUUCCGACCUGCACGAAUGGCGUAAUGAUGGCCAGGCUGUCUCCACCCGAGACUCAGUGAAAUUGAACUCGCUGUGAAGAUGCAGUGUACCCGCGGCAAGACGGAAAGACCCCGUGAACCUUUACUAUAGCUUGACACUGAACAUUGAGCCUUGAUGUGUAGGAUAGGUGGGAGGCUUUGAAGUGUGGACGCCAGUCUGCAUGGAGCCAACCUUGAAAUACCACCCUUUAACGUUUGAUGUUCUAACCUAGGCCCAUAAACUGGGUCGGGGACCGUGUCUGGUGGGUAGUUUGACUGGGGCGGUCUCCUCCUAAAGAGUAACGGAGGAGCACGAAGGUUGGCUAAGCAUGGUCGGACAUCAUGCGGUUAGUGCAAAGGCAUAAGCCAGCUUGACUGCGAGAGUGACGGCUCGAGCAGGUACGAAAGUAGGUCUUAGUGAUCCGGUGGUUCUGAAUGGAAGGGCCAUCGCUCAACGGAUAAAAGGUACUCCGGGGAUAACAGGCUGAUACCGCCCAAGAGUUCAUAUCGACGGCGGUGUUUGGCACCUCGAUGUCGGCUCAUCACAUCCUGGGGCUGAAGUAGGUCCCAAGGGUAUGGCUGUUCGCCAUUUAAAGUGGUACGCGAGCUGGGUUUAGAACGUCGUGAGACAGUUCGGUCCCUAUCUGCCGUGGGCGUUGGAAGAUUGAGAGGGGUUGCUCCUAGUACGAGAGGACCGGAGUGAACGCACCACUGGUGUUCGGGUUGUCAUGCCAAUGGCAUUGCCCGGUAGCUAAGUGCGGAAGAGAUAACCGCUGAAAGCAUCUAAGCGGGAAACUUGCCUCGAGAUGAGUCUUCCCUGUCGCUUUAAGCGACCUAAAGGAACGUUUAAGACUAAGACGUUGAUAGGCUGGGUGUGUAAGCGUAGCGAUACGUUGAGCUAACCAGUACUAAUGAACCGUGAGGCUUAACCUGACAACACCGAAAGUGUUUUG
RNAcentral lists this ribosomal RNA (2932 nucleotides) under Proteus mirabilis. Its description in RNAcentral is "23S ribosomal RNA". It matches the Rfam family "Bacterial large subunit ribosomal RNA". The record is from RNAcentral. Lineage: Bacteria; Pseudomonadati; Pseudomonadota; Gammaproteobacteria; Enterobacterales; Morganellaceae.